GAUGAACGCUGGCGGCGUGCUUAACACAUGCAAGUCGAACGGAAAGGCCCAAGCUUGCUUGGGUACUCGAGUGGCGAACGGGUGAGUAACACGUGGGUGAUCUGCCCUGCACUUCGGGAUAAGCCUGGGAAACUGGGUCUAAUACCGGAUAGGACCACUUCUUGGAUGUUGUGGUGGAAAGUUUUUUCGGUGUGGGAUGAGCUCGCGGCCUAUCAGCUUGUUGGUGGGGUAAUGGCCUACCAAGGCGUCGACGGGUAGCCGGCCUGAGAGGGUGUACGGCCACAUUGGGACUGAGAUACGGCCCAGACUCCUACGGGAGGCAGCAGUGGGGAAUAUUGCACAAUGGGCGCAAGCCUGAUGCAGCGACGCCACGUGGGGGAUGACGGCCUUCGGGUUGUAAACCCCUUUCGCUAGGGACGAAGCGUUUUGUGACGGUACCUGGAGAAGAAGCACCGGCUAACUACGUG
This 467-nucleotide ribosomal RNA is filed under the name uncultured bacterium. RNAcentral's name for it is "partial 16S ribosomal RNA". It matches the Rfam family "Bacterial small subunit ribosomal RNA", at positions 28 to 507 of the family's 1533-position model. The record is from RNAcentral.